Molecule: long non-coding RNA, 691 nt
Organism: Culex quinquefasciatus (southern house mosquito)
Lineage: Eukaryota; Metazoa; Arthropoda; Insecta; Diptera; Culicidae
Exons: 3
Source: RefSeq, a predicted model, not a curated record
UUUCGAGAGGAAAUUUCCGCGUAAAGUCGUGUGUCCCCGGGGAUGUGGAACAUACCCGGCAUUUGUGCGUGUUCGCGGUGCUAAUAAUGGCCCCGAUCCCGGUGCUGGUUGGACAGUUCCGCCGGAAGACCGAAUCGGAAUGGUUCGGGGUUGGCGAAGGUGUUGCCGCUGUGAAGCAACAAUAUUUUUAGGGACACUUCUCCACGGUGGACCGGCUGCUGCUGCACACAUCCCGGACCGCCGUGGCGCGCCGAAAGUAUGUGUGGAAGCGCUGGCAAGGAGUGACUGCGUUCUCGGUGUAGGCUGGACCGCUGGAUAGAUCCACCGGGUGACGGAUCUAGUACGACUCAGGAAUGGUAACAAGGAGUUCAGCAACUACGUGGGCUUAUUUCACUGAGGAUUGUGCUUCUCGAUUACGCGAAUGUCCAUCCCAAGUACGAAGCAGUGAAUCCUGCACCGGCUACCGACAUUCCGGACAACGCCAAACAGUAACUGUUUGCUUGGCUGAUUGAAGCGGAAUCACAAAAGAAAACGACGCUAAAAAAAGUGCUAAAUAAAGUGAAAAAAAAUACAAAUAAUAACGAUAAAAAUACUCAUUAAUUUAUUGUAUUGACCAUUAACUUCAAUGUCCAUUUAUAUUUUUACCAUACAGUUUUGUGGAGAAAAAACAAUAAAUAAACGAUAAAACUUA